This 2061-nucleotide long non-coding RNA is filed under the name Pongo abelii (Sumatran orangutan). Its description in RNAcentral is "lncRNA (ENSPPYG00000031586.1)". The record is from RNAcentral. Lineage: Eukaryota; Metazoa; Chordata; Mammalia; Primates; Hominidae.
CGCCGCCCUGAGGCUCACGCUCGUGCGGGUCAGUCGGUCGGCAGGGCCUGCGCGGGGCCCGGGCCCAUGGCGGCGUCGGCGGCUCUGUCUGCGGCGGCGGCUGCGGCGGCCCUGUCUGGCCUGGCGGUGCGGCUGUCGCGCUCAGCUGCGGCCCGAGGCUCGUACGGCGCCUUCUGCAAGGGGCUCACGCGCACGCUGCUCACCUUCUUCGACCUGGCCUGGCGGCUGCGCAUGAACUUCCCCUACUUCUACAUCGUGGCCUCGGUGAUGCUUAACGUCCGCCUGCAGGUGCGGAUCGAGUGAGCGGCGGCAGCGAAGGCCCGGCUGAAGGGGCGCCCGUGUCCCCGCCCGCCGCCGGCCGGGUCGCCGGCAUGAAGGGAAGCUGGGCCGCGGCGGGGGGCGGAGGCGGGGAAGCUCGGGCCCCUGGACUCUAGACCUACGCCGCCAGGGCACGACGGCCCAGCCCUGGCCCCGGCUGCGGUCUCAGCCUGGGGACCCUGGAUCACGCAGAAACGCACUGAAUGGGCCCCUGCCAUCGGGCUCCAGAAACUACCUGGGCUCGGCCGACCUGUUGCCUCAUAUUGGCCAAAGAGGGGGAAACCAGAAGGAGGGAAUUCUGCUGCGGCGACUUGACUUUCCAGGCCCCGAGCAGAAAGGCAUUGGCGUUUGUAGGCGGUGACCCGCCCCUUCUCUGGCCUUGCCAAGAGUCACAUCCCUGCCCAGGGGCACCUCUGGCCCUGGACCUGCUUGGGCAGAGGCAACGUGAAGGGCCUGAACAAGAGGAGAAGAAGGGCCUUCCUAGUAGAGGCACAGCAUGGACAAAGGCUCACAGGGGUGGGGGUGCCCAGUGAUCGAGUCCUGGCUUGGGAAGGAAGUUCUGAGUUUCCUGGGAACUGAAAUCUGCUAGCAGCACUGUGAGAGAGGUGUAUUUCCCCCUCCUAAUGACAGAGGAAACUGAGGCUUGGGGGAGGGGGGGAUUUGCCCUUGACAUGCAGAUAGGAGGAGGAGGAACUGCGUGUGCCCCUGGGCCUGCAGGCCCCCACACCCCUCCCCAGUCUUCUCCAAGACCUGGCAUGGUGGGAGGAGGGAGGGGGAAGUGGAGAGGGAAGCACAGGGCUCCUGAGGCACCAAGGGAGAGAGGGGCCCAGGGGUAGGGAGUCUAGGAAUGUCGCUUUCUUUGGAGCAGUACAAAAAGUCACAGGGAAGAUCAGGAGGACAGACAGCUGAGAUGGGAGACAGGAGAGAUGAGCCCCAGGACCCCUGGGGAACCAAGCUCUCCCCCACAUCCUAACCUCUCACCCCACCUGGAGCUUCACCAAGGGCUCCUCAGCAGUGAAGUGGCACAAGCCUCCCAGUUUGGUGGGCAAGUAGGGGUGAUCUUGGUGUUGUGGCUCCUGGAGACACGACAUAACCAGGAGGGUGAAGGGAUAAACCUGGGAUGGGUGGGGGCUGAGACCCAUGGCAUGACCCCAAUUCUCUCUCCUCAAGCUCGACCCCCCAUCCCCAGGAUCACACAGGAGAAUCUCAUCCUCACGGCUUGGAUUGGUCCUGGGGGCCCCCGGUUGUGCUGCUAACUGGUGUACAAUGGUCAGGAGCAGCCCAGAGGGGAGCCAGGAAGAGACCCUCACCCUUACCCUCUAUCCCCAUUUCCGCAUCUCUUGCACUGGUACCCCAAGGGCCACGUUCUCAGUUCCUGGGACUGAAAACUGCAGCAGUCUGGCCAGCUCCAGGGACAGAGUGGCCCAGCCACCUACCAUGUACCCUCCUCAGCUGCCCACUGGACUCAGGUCCUGAAUGAAGCUGUCCGUCUGCCUCACCCCAGAAGAGGCUGGACAGUGGCUGCCUUGUGCCCCCUGCAGUCUCCCACAGCCAGGGCCCGAUGGGGUGCCUCCUUGUCCCAAGUUUCUUGGGGACCCCUGACCCUGUUGGCCCCUCUCAUCCACCCCAACCCUGUCCACCCUGGACCACCUCUGGGGGCCUGUCAGCCUGCUGGUCCCCCCAACAGAUCUUUGGGGGCAGCGUCUAUGGGACAAGAGUGACACAGGGCUGGAGAAGAGAAGU